Molecule: long non-coding RNA, 1977 nt
Organism: Scophthalmus maximus (turbot)
Lineage: Eukaryota; Metazoa; Chordata; Actinopteri; Pleuronectiformes; Scophthalmidae
Exons: 6
Source: RefSeq, a predicted model, not a curated record
CCAGCUGUCACCGUGGGACCCUGGAUCUGUGCUUCGAGCUCCGCCUCAUACGACCCCAGGGUACGAAGAGCAACAGAUGCGUUUGGGGGCUGGGACGGAAUCUAUUGUGGAAGGCUUCAUGAAGACACGCAGCGAAGGGGAGAGGAACCCAGGCUGCAGUGGAUUGGAGCCCCGGCUCUUCCAGAUGAAGCCACAGCUCAUGAGGAGGACCGACGCAGACGGCGGCGGAGGUUUUUGAAGGUUCUCCCAGACUGGAGAGUCGUCACGGUGGCUUUGCUCCAUGCACUGCAAUGGCGUGGAGGAGUGCGGAACAGCCGGAUUGACGAAGACAGACGAAGGACAUCCGAUCCGUGGAGCGAGGGCUCCGGGACUUGAGAGGCUUCAAAGACGACGUGCACUGGGUCGUCGUUUCUACUGGAUCAGUGCGGAAGCAUGAUGGUGACGUCGGCCAGCGCUCCUCCGCGGUAACGUCGCCCGCUGCGUUGAGAGCCAUGUGAACCUCUGGACUCCGUGGCGCUCCGUGCCCGCCCCGUCCUUCCCGAUCCACAAGUUCACAGGUCUUUCUGCGGGGCUCAGCGGGAGAGAGAUCCACCGUUCAGAUAUUCCAGGAGAAGGGAAGAAAGACCUUCGCUUGAGGCUCCGGAGGAAAACUCUUUGUAGGUCGGGCCAUCAUUUAAUACUCAGUUUUCGAACCUUGCCGGCUCCGUCGCGGACGGACAUUAAUCAUGCUUGAUUCAGCAGCCUGAGAGACGGCCGGGCGAGUGUGCGUGAUGGAUGUCGAGGCCUCCAACUCUACUGGAAUACUAGCUUAAUUUAACUAAGUGGUCUUUUAUUAUUGUCAAGGUGGAUCAACAAAUUCUCUCAGGGACAAGAUAGGUGACACAAUAUUAGUGUCUGUCACCGGGAUAUUAAUUUAGAGGGCACUUGAGUGUGCCGGAAAUUUAUUAAUCUUCACUUUUCUUGUGCCGGAGCAUGGUAAUCAAACUUUCCAGUGUUUAUCAAGUGAAUACAAAUGCUAAAGGUUAAUUUAAUGGUUUUGAGUUAUUUUUAACGUUGGGUGGAGCAGGAUACAGCCUAUAAAGGGCCUUAGUGUUUGACUUCCACACUUGAUUGCACCAUUGAUUGCUCCCUUAAGAAAACACUUGAUUGGUACACGUGUGCCUUGAGUACGGAGGGAAAUGAGAGCUGUCUGUCCACUCGACGGCCUGAAAGAAAAGCUCAGGUGUUUACAUAAUCAGCAAAGUUGGUGGUGAAAUAAGAGGAAAAUUGGUCAUCAGCCGAAAACUUCCCCCUUCACCCGCACUCAUGCACGGCUGCGUAGCUCGUCAGCACAAGUGCGUCUACGGAGGACGCUCUUCCCCGAUUUGUUGCCGUUGAUUCACAGCACCGCAGAUGUGAGAGACGAAGACUCAAACAUCCACAAGUGUCUGGAGAGGAGACGGAGGAGAAUAUCAGGGAACAUCGUGUCCUCCUGGCAGAUAAUACUCUUUAUUAUUGUCUUCAGUUCAGCCGUAACUGUGGGACUUCUCGCACUUGAGCUGCUUUCAAAUAUCACAAUUAUGACAGAUGGAAUAUUUAAAGGCUUCACCAGUUGCUCCUGUAUCGCUAAGUUGGCCCUUAUCCAGAAAGACUUUUCCCUUCCUUGAUGACGUUUUCAAAUUUGGUUUAUUCUGAUACUGGGCAGAUAUUUUGCUGGAAUCUGUCGUGGGAGUGAAACACAGAUAAGCAGAGUAAUUAUAAGGAUUUGUUUGGCCUUGAUUUUUAAAUCAGUUGAAGUGUCAAGUGGCUAUUGAUUUUAACCUGCAGUGUUAGAGAAAGUCCACAGGGGGUCGCUGCUUCACAAUUAAUAACAACAGCUGACCUGAACAGUGUGUAGUGUGUUGGUUUACUUUUCACUGUAAAUCUGUAACAGCUUGGAACAAAACCUCAAAUUGUUCAGAGGGAGCAAAGUUUCCAGUGAUGCUCAGUGACCUUUGA